GUGGGGAAUAUUGGGCAAUGGGGGAAACCCUGACCCAGCAACGCCGCGUGAAGGAAGAAGGUUUUCGGAUCGUAAACUUCUAUCCUUGGUGAAGAUAAUGACGGUAGCCAAGAAGGAAGCCCCGGCUAACUACGUGCCAGCAGCCGCGGUAAUACAGAGGUCUCAAGCGUUGUUCGGAAUUAUUGGGCGUAAAGGGCGCGUAGGCGGGAAGGUGUGUCGACCUGUAAAUCUAUCGUUUCAAGCGGUAGGCUUGGGUUGAAACUGCCUUUCUAGAGGAUUUCAGGGGAGUUUGGAAUUUACGGUGUAGCAGUGAAAUGCGUGGAUAUCGUAAGGAAGGCUUGUGGCGAAGGCGAAACUCUGGGGAAUACCUGACGCUGAGGCGCGAAGGCUAGGUUAGCAAACGGGAUUAGAAACCCUGGUAGUCC
Molecule: ribosomal RNA, 425 nt
Filed under: uncultured bacterium
Lineage: Bacteria
Description: partial 16S ribosomal RNA
Rfam family: Bacterial small subunit ribosomal RNA
Source: RNAcentral